This 68-nucleotide transfer RNA is filed under the name Batrachoseps wrighti (Oregon slender salamander). RNAcentral describes it as "tRNA-Glu". It matches the Rfam family "tRNA". From Rfam's summary of the family: Transfer RNA (tRNA) molecules are approximately 80 nucleotides in length. Their secondary structure includes four short double-helical elements and three loops (D, anti-codon, and T loops). Further hydrogen bonds mediate the characteristic L-shaped molecular structure. tRNAs have two regions of fundamental functional importance: the anti-codon, which is responsible for specific mRNA codon recognition, and the 3' end, to which the tRNAs corresponding amino acid is attached (by aminoacyl-tRNA synthetases). tRNAs cope with the degeneracy of the genetic code in two manners: having more than one tRNA (with a specific anti-codon) for a particular amino acid; and 'wobble' base-pairing, i.e. permitting non-standard base-pairing at the 3rd anti-codon position. Lineage: Eukaryota; Metazoa; Chordata; Amphibia; Caudata; Plethodontidae. The record is from RNAcentral.
GUUUUUAUAGUUGAAUACAACAUUGGUUUUUCAAGUCAAAGGCUAUGGAUAAAGUCCAUAUAAAAAUA